CUACGGGAGGCAGCAGUGGGGAAUAUUGGACAAUGGGGGCAACCCUGAUCCAGCCAUGCCGCGUGAGUGAUGAAGGCCCUAGGGUUGUAAAGCUCUUUUGUGCGGGAAGAUAAUGACGGUACCGCAAGAAUAAGCCCCGGCUAACUUCGUGCCAGCAGCCGCGGUAAUACGAAGGGGGCUAGCGUUGCUCGGAAUCACUGGGCGUAAAGGGUGCGUAGGCGGGUUUUUAAGUCAGGGGUGAAAUCCUGGAGCUCAACUCCAGAACUGCCUUUGAUACUGGAAGGCUCGAGUUCGGGAGAGGUGAGUGGAACUGCGAGUGUAGAGGUGAAAUUCGUAGAUAUUCGCAAGAACACCAGUGGCGAAGGCGGCUCACUGGCCCGAUACUGACGCUGAGGUGCGAAAGCGUGGGGAGCAAACAGGAUUAGAAACCCGUGUAGUCC
RNAcentral lists this ribosomal RNA (440 nucleotides) under uncultured bacterium. RNAcentral's name for it is "bacterial SSU rRNA". It matches the Rfam family "Bacterial small subunit ribosomal RNA", at positions 339 to 796 of the family's 1533-position model. The record is from RNAcentral.